Mytilus trossulus (common blue mussel) is the source of this 2516-nucleotide long non-coding RNA. RefSeq lists it as uncharacterized. Lineage: Eukaryota; Metazoa; Mollusca; Bivalvia; Mytilida; Mytilidae. The record is from RefSeq and is a predicted model, not a curated record. The transcript has 5 exons.
CUCGAACAGAACCACAAGUCCUUACAACAACAACAAAACGCCCACUACCUCAACACUGUACACGAUCGCAAGAAGAAAUUCAUUUCAAAGAUGUUUUUACAAUUACCUGCAUGAUUCCUGUAUCACACCAGCUUGGUAAAUUAUACAUAAACUAUAAGCCACAGUACGGAUCUUACAAACCUGAUGAAGUUUUCAACUUUAGCCUGACACAGAUGGAAUCUGACCAAGGUGGAUGGAACAUAACAGUACUGAACAGUUCCUCGCCCGUUCACAUCAAUAUUACAAGAGAACCUGUGAAGUGUGAUAGUGGUGGGGAAUAUACAUUUAGGUUCAUGGUGGCCAACAGUACACAUGAGUUUGAAGUUUUCACGCAUACGGAACUCAUAACAAUUGAAAGUACGUGAUCAUUAUAAUAUUGUUAAGUGGUUAACAUUACACAUGAGUUUGAAGUAUUCAGACAUACGGAACUCAUAACAAUUGAAAGCAAGGUUUCUGAUGUAAGCCUACAAGUAAAACAAAACAAUGUCUCAGGUGGCUUUUAUGAAGUAUCUUGUUCUGCACAAAGCGCUUGUACGCCGGCGCCAAUUACUUUGUUGGGAGUCUUCAUAGGAGACGACAAUUCAAAGUCACAACCUAUAUUUGGUUCAAACUUUACUUGUAUUAUAAACUACAAUGACAACGACGGAUGGACCGUUAAAUGCACCGGAACAAUUCCAGAGAAUGUUUUCUCAUCACUCAAUAGCAUUGCAUGUAGGCCGACGACGGGUAACCAAACCAUUGAUGAUAAAAAGGAGAUUGAAUACGAAAUUUGCAGAGAUUGCAUAUUUGAGUGUCCCAACGAUAAUUACGACACGUAUUGGUUUGACCACAAGAUAUGUAACAUAUUUCAUCGAUGUUUCAACGGACAUCUGUACACACAACCAUGUCCACCGGCAACAUAUUUCAACACUAUUUCAUGCACGUGUGAUCAUACAGACAACUUACCAGGAAAAUGUAACGAACAAAAUGAAAGGGUUGAACAAAAGGAUAAAACAAAAUCUUGUAGCUGAUGAAUUUUACGUACAUAAAAAACCGCUACUGAUUUGGGUUGCCUUACAUCAUAAUGCUUUUAAUGUAAAAGUGUAACUGAUCAUUACAUUUAAACUAUGUAAUAUACCAUUAGUAAUUCAACUAUGCUGAAUUCAGUCAUUUUAAUAUCAAAUGUACCAGGAUUAUAAUUUAGAACGAAAGACGCGCGUUUUGUCUACAUAAAACACAUCAGUGGCGUUUAUUUUAAAAUAUUUAUAAAACCAAACAAGUACAAAACUGAAGAGCAUUGGCGAUCCGUAAUUCCUAAAAGUUGUUCCAAACAAAACUUUUUCAAAUAUAUAUUAUUUGAUCAUUUCUGAUAAAUUCCCUCAUUUGAAAAAUAUCGUGGCAACAGGAUCCGCUCUUAAGGAGGCUCGCGGGUAUAAGAUUUUUCAGAAAAAAAUAAACAUUUAUUUUUCAUUACAAAUUUUAUUUAUUAAUUUUAGUAGCUGUUACUUUAUCAUAUGGUAAAAAAUCAAUUCGUGUUGGCCCCAGGUGACUUUUAAAAUGAUGAUAUCAUUGAAAAAGCUCCAAAUUAUCUCCCUUUGGUGCAAAAAUGCCAUUUUUUGGCAUUCAAAUGGAAAUAUCUUUUUUCAGUCAUCGGUGACCUAUAUUUUGUAUUGUUGUUUUCGAAUAAGCUGUACAUAAACUAAAUAACUGUAAAAUUUAAGCGAUUUCUGUAAUUUAGUUCUUUUUUUAUUUCGAUAUUACCGAUAUUUCUCCUAUUAGUUCAAAAGAAGAAAAGAACAUUAACAAAAAUGUAUGUUUCUUUCAAAGGCAGAUUGUGAGCGUAAAUGAACGGUGACCCCAUUUUUUUAUUUCAUUUUUCUAUUCAGUAUAAGAUAAAUUUCAUUUAUAGAAAAAUAUAACGAAAUCCUAUAUUGAAUUAAAAAAAUGAUUUAGACCCGCGAGCCCCCUUAACAUAUGGAAUUACUGCUUAAAUUAUUGCAUCUUCAGUUGAGCAGAUUGUGUGCAUGGUUGUUUGAAAAGAAAUGGGCGUAAACACUUAUAAUAUAAAAAUUGAACUUUUCGUAUUUAUGUCCCACGUCUGUUAGAUUCAGGAAAUUGAGAAUGAAUGGCGUUAUCACGGAUUUACCUUAUCACAUACUAUGCAAAUGUAUCGCUAAAAUUUGUCGAAUCAAAAAUAGUUUGGACUAAUAACACAAACACUUAUUACUAUACUAGUUUAUUGUGUCUGUUUCGAUGGGAAUGGUGUAUUAUACUUAAAACUACGGACACAACUAUUGCAACGGACAAUGGAAACACAUGAGGCGUCGUUAAAUAUAAACUUUGCUUUUUUCUCUCUUGUAUGUAACUAUUUAUUUGUCAUUAUCGCAUUAUAAACACAGCCCAGUUGGCCUCUGGACAAACUGAACAAUUAUUUAAUGGAUUUAUUUAUAGAUUGUUAUGAAAGAGGUUACACUUUUAAAUAAAUUCAUUCAUUUACU